This 497-nucleotide ribosomal RNA is filed under the name uncultured bacterium. RNAcentral's name for it is "partial 16S ribosomal RNA". It matches the Rfam family "Bacterial small subunit ribosomal RNA", at positions 28 to 507 of the family's 1533-position model. The record is from RNAcentral.
GAUGAACGCUGGCGGCGUGCCUAAUACAUGCAAGUCGAGCGAACAGACGAGGAGCUUGCUCCUCUGACGUUAGCGGCGGACGGGUGAGUAACACGUGGAUAACCUACCUAUAAGACUGGGAUAACUUCGGGAAACCGGAGCUAAUACCGGAUAAUAUAUUGAACCGCAUGGUUCAAUAGUGAAGGACGGUUUUGCUGUCACUUAUAGAUGGAUCCGCGCCGCAUUAGCUAGUUGGUAAGGUAACGGCUUACCAAGGCGACGAUGCGUAGCCGACCUGAGAGGGUGAUCGGCCACACUGGAACUGAGACACGGUCCAGACUCCUACGGGAGGCAGCAGUAGGGAAUCUUCCGCAAUGGGCGAAAGCCUGACGGAGCAACGCCGCGUGAGUGAUGAAGGUCUUCGGAUCGUAAAACUCUGUUAUUAGGGAAGAACAAAUGUGUAGGUAACUAUGCACGUCUUGACGGUACCUAAUCAGAAAGCCACGGCUAACUACGUG